Molecule: RNA transcript, 965 nt
Organism: Quercus lobata
Lineage: Eukaryota; Viridiplantae; Streptophyta; Magnoliopsida; Fagales; Fagaceae
Gene name: cytochrome c biogenesis CcmF C-terminal-like mitochondrial protein
Exons: 1
Source: RefSeq, a predicted model, not a curated record
UUGCUUCUUCACAAAAGCUUAUCCCCGCCCCGACCGGCAGCUGCUGGGUCUCCCCAUCUCUCCUAAACUUCCCCCGGUCUUCGGCCCGAGCUGUAUGAGGCAGAAACUCGUCUCACGUACGGUUCGGAGGCCGAGCCCCACCCCAGCAGUAAUGGUGCGGCUUAGGUCAACUAACACAAAGAAGAUACAGUUCAUUCAACGAUUGCCUUUGGGUUCCGAACUCCAUAUGGGGAAGGAGCGUUGUUGUUUGCGAGGUCUCGAUCAUUUACAUGGACCCACUUUUCAUUCCAUUUGUGGCAAUUUGAUGAUCUAUAAACCGUCCCUAACGAACGAUCGGCUCAUGUUUGAGCAUGAUGAAUCACUUCGUGCCGACCUGUUGCCAAUAAACUUUCCGGCCUCAUAUGAGAAUGGAAAACUGGAGCAUUUUCUACAUCGGUGGAUGAAGAAUCGCGAACAUAAUAAUUUCUGGUUGACCAUGUUCCCAGAAAAAAGAUACUUUCGAGAAACGACGAGCACGACUGAAGUGGCUAUACAUACAAAUCCAUUUACGGAUCUAUAUGCUUCAAUUGGAACUGGAAGUUCCAGAACAGGCGGCUGGUAUACCACCAUAAUGAAACUGCCUUUUCUUUUUUUUAUUCGGAUAGGAUUUAUGUUGGCUUCGUCGGGAGGCUCGCGUAGUUUGUUACGUCAGCUCCAAAAGGAUAAGUUGCGUUGGAAUCGAGAAAGUUCUGUGGAGUUCAUAAUUGCAUAAAAGGAGUCAAACAAAGUAGUGGCUGCGGCGCGUCGAGGCACUUCUUCGAUGGUCCCCGUCCGCCCGGCCAGCCGGCCCACUCUGAAGAAUUAAUGGGCCGGCUGGCGGGCGAGACAGAAUGGGCGGGCACUACUAACCAAGCCAAGCCUAGUUCUCGUCGAUAGGCGCUGGUAGCUUGCUUCCAAGCCUUGCCUUAUAUAAUAGUUGUGGCCAU